AAGACUAUAGACCUGCGGAGUACCUGCGGAAGGAUCAUUAGAAAAGAAAAAAAGAUCGACCUCGAAAACGUGGACGAUCAAAUCCAUACCCACCUUGUGUGCACUCAUUGACCGUUCGCUUUGGCAGGAGGGAGUCUUCGAUCGGCGAUCGAAGCGCGAGGCCCUCUCCCUUCCCCGGGAGAUCGGCACCUCGGCCUGCCAGAGUUUUUCUUUCUCGAAUUCACGCUUCUCUUGAACCUU
This 240-nucleotide unclassified non-coding RNA is filed under the name soil metagenome. RNAcentral's name for it is "partial contains 5.8S ribosomal RNA, internal transcribed spacer 2, and large subunit ribosomal RNA". The record is from RNAcentral.